This 65-nucleotide transfer RNA is filed under the name Oncomelania hupensis quadrasi. Its description in RNAcentral is "Oncomelania quadrasi tRNA-Thr". It matches the Rfam family "tRNA". From Rfam's summary of the family: Transfer RNA (tRNA) molecules are approximately 80 nucleotides in length. Lineage: Eukaryota; Metazoa; Mollusca; Gastropoda; Littorinimorpha; Pomatiopsidae. The record is from RNAcentral.
GCAAUAAUAGCUUAAAAUAAAGCAUUGGUCUUGUAAGCCAAAGAUAAAAAUCAUUUUUUAUUGCU